This 238-nucleotide ribosomal RNA is filed under the name uncultured bacterium. Its description in RNAcentral is "partial 16S ribosomal RNA". It matches the Rfam family "Bacterial small subunit ribosomal RNA", at positions 524 to 765 of the family's 1533-position model. The record is from RNAcentral.
UACGGGAGGGGCAAGCGUUGUUCGGAAUUACUGGGCGUAAAGGGCUCGUAGGCGGCCAACUAAGUCAGACGUGAAAGCCCGGGGCUCAACCCGGAACUGCCAUCGAUACUGUCAGGCUUGAGUACAGGCGAGGUUGGCGGAAUGGGCGGUGUAGCGGUGAAAUGCAUAGAUACCGUCCAGAACCCCGAUUGCGAAGGCGGCUCACUGGGGGUCUUCGACGCUGAGGAAGAAGCCAGGG